RNAcentral lists this long non-coding RNA (215 nucleotides) under Phoenix dactylifera (date palm). Its description in RNAcentral is "long non-coding RNA (PDAC_LNC015655)". The record is from RNAcentral. Lineage: Eukaryota; Viridiplantae; Streptophyta; Magnoliopsida; Arecales; Arecaceae.
GUGUUGCCCAGAUAGACAACCCAAGAGGGGGGGUGAAUUGGGUUUUAAAAUAAUUUUGCAAUUAAAACGUUGUGGAUGACUAAUUAAUGCUUUACCAAGAUGGUUAAUUAAUUGCUAUGUGCUGUGAAUGAAAUGAGAGUAAAAGAAAGAGACAAACAAUCACAAACACAAGGCUUUUAUAGUGGUUCGGAGCUAACCCUUGCUCCUACGUCUAC